CCUACGGGAGGCAGCAGUGAGGAAUAUUGGUCAAUGGGCGGAAGCCUGAACCAGCGACGCCGCGUGAGUGAAGAAGUAUUUCGGUAUGUAAAGCUCUAUCAGCAGGGAAGAAAUAAAGUCCUUCGGACUUUGGACGGUACCUGACUAAGAAGCCCCGGCUAACUACGUGCCAGCAGCCGCGGUAAUACGUAGGGGGCAAGCGUUAUCCGGAUUUACUGGGUGUAAAGGGAGCGUAGACGGCAGCGCAAGUCUGGAGUGAAAUCCCAUGGCUUAACCAUGGAACUGCUUUGGAAACUGUGCAGCUGGAGUGCAGGAGAGGUAAGCGGAAUUCCUAGUGUAGCGGUGAAAUGCGUAGAUAUUAGGAGGAACACCAGUGGCGAAGGCGGCUUACUGGACUGUAACUGACGUUGAGGCUCGAAAGCGUGGGGAGCAAACAGGAUUAGAUACCCCAGUAGUC
Molecule: ribosomal RNA, 457 nt
Filed under: uncultured bacterium
Lineage: Bacteria
Description: partial 16S ribosomal RNA
Rfam family: Bacterial small subunit ribosomal RNA
Source: RNAcentral